GACUUCGGCUUCGUAGGUGACCUGCGGAGGAUCAUUC
This 37-nucleotide ribosomal RNA is filed under the name uncultured Craterellus. RNAcentral's name for it is "partial 18S ribosomal RNA". Lineage: Eukaryota; Fungi; Basidiomycota; Agaricomycetes; Cantharellales; Hydnaceae. The record is from RNAcentral.